RNAcentral lists this long non-coding RNA (455 nucleotides) under Anser brachyrhynchus (Pink-footed goose). RNAcentral's name for it is "lncRNA (ENSABRG00000004691.1)". Lineage: Eukaryota; Metazoa; Chordata; Aves; Anseriformes; Anatidae. The record is from RNAcentral.
AGCUGUUUGCUAUGAGUGCUUGAUAUGGGAGAGGGAUAGCUCAGGCUGGGUUUUUGCCUGUGGCUGCUGCUGUAGGCUAGACUGCAAGACAGGAGCUGUGGGGAGCGUAGGGGUUUUUGUCAGCUUUGCACAGACCCCUUUCUGCAGGAACUGGAGGCUGUGUGAUUGGAGAGCGAUGCCACUAAUGGGAGCCUACUUGUACUUUGUCCAAAGGAAAGAGACAGCUCAGUGCUCUGUCACUGCAGCGCAGCUGGAGCAGGCAGGGACGGGGAUGCCAAAGCGCAGCUCGCUCCUCCUUGCUGCCACUGUGCUCAGGCAACACACACCAGGAAGCCCUUGCUGGGACCUCCUGUCUGUGCGUCUGUAUGGCCGUGGGAUGACCUGAACCCUCCCUCCAGGUAAGGCUUUCCAGGAUCUAUCUUUAGCGAUCAUUUAUACUGUAUUUUACUCUCUCC